CUGGGCAGUCCGAUUCUGUCGGGCCCUUUGCCAUCUACUUGAGUACUCCUCACUGCUUCACUGGUCAUAGAGAACCUCCUAAACAUCUCUCCACAUCCAGUGAUCCAUGAAAGACUUUUAGUCCGAUGGUGACUCGAAGCUGGAGAACUCAAUGGCGGACUGUCUGAAGUGGUGUAGCCUAUCACAAAACCGACGUGUGGCCACCUCCUUGAAGCUCCGAUGGCCG
Molecule: long non-coding RNA, 226 nt
Filed under: Elaeis guineensis (African oil palm)
Lineage: Eukaryota; Viridiplantae; Streptophyta; Magnoliopsida; Arecales; Arecaceae
Description: long non-coding RNA (EGUI_LNC043328)
Source: RNAcentral